This is a long non-coding RNA of Meriones unguiculatus (Mongolian gerbil), 2442 nucleotides long. RefSeq lists it as uncharacterized. NCBI's taxonomy places the organism in Eukaryota, Metazoa, Chordata, Mammalia, Rodentia, Muridae. The record is from RefSeq and is a predicted model, not a curated record. The transcript is spliced from 4 exons.
CCUGCAAUCACCCCAUCCUGGGCUCUAUGCAUGCAUGUGAGGGAGGCAUGCACAUGGAAUGCCUCUGGCAAAAAGGAGAGGCCACCCAGAGCAUGGUGUAAGAGCCUGUGCCCUUCACUCCCUCUGGGUUGGUACAGUCCUUUGGAGGGUUCACCAUGCUCUCCAGUAAACUGGUUAUGUCGGACUCAGGAAAUGGUGCCGUGUUCUCUUCAGUGUAUGCCAGUGACACAUGCUAUCUAUACAGCUCUGGAAGACCUUAGCAUCUCUCACAGACCUGGAAGUUGCCAAGUAAGUAGGCUGAUUGGCCAGCGAGUCCCAGAGACCUGCCUGUCUCGGCUUUACCAGUUCUGGGGUUGCAAGUGUGUGCCUCCCAUGCCCACCUUUUGGAAAGUGGGUUCUGGGGUAUGAACUCGGGUCUUUAUGCUUGCAAGGUAAGUGUUUUAGCAACUCGGCUUCCUUAACCUUAGUUCAUAAUCUUAAAAACAGACAAACGAUUAGAUCCUAGCCUCUGUUAAGUACAUUCUGAUGUUUUGGAGAACCACACUGCAGUGGCUUAGAACCCUUGAUUUUAGGAACACGCAACCCAGUUCUACCAAUUUCACAUAUGGAAGGGCAUGCCAUAAGGACUUUGUCAUUAUGGCAUGCCCUUCCAUAUGGAUAAUUUCUGUGGCUUGAAACACUUGUUAGUGGUUUGUUUUUACUCUUUCUUGCUCUGUUUUCAAGGAUAUGUGCGGCCCAGGCUAACCUCCUGCUAUGUGUCUGAGGAUGAGCUUCAACUUUUGAUCUUCCUCCUCUAUUCCCAAGUGCUGUGAGUAUGGGAGCAUACCACCGCACCACACCUGGCUUCAAGUUAUUUUAAAGAUCCAGGCUGACAGAGGAAAGUGUAUUUUGGACUUACACUGACCAGCAUUAGGCAUUAGGCACAUGUGACUCAGUCAGCACUGGAACAUGGUUAAUUUGGGAUGCGCCUGAACUAAUUUUUAAAAGUAGAAGGUUUCAUUAAUUUUUUUUGAGUGGAUAUAGUGAGUUAAAAGGUACGUAAUUAUGCACAAAAUUUCACUUCAACUCAUUCUUUUAACUUUAGUUUUAGACAAACCAGCGGCUCACGUUAUCUUUCUUUUGUGCUGAAUAGCUGCGGAAUUAUCUACGACAAGAAGAUGAUUUUCGAAUAAAGGCAUAGACAACUGCGCUAGAUAGACGUCUCAAGAUCGUUGCAAAUACAUUCAAAGUGCUCAAGACUGAACCCAGAGUCUCAUGAAUACAAGGAAGUUCUACCACGGAGGCCAAGCCCCAGCUCUGCUAGUAACUGGUGGUGUCCCUUAACUUCUCAGUGCAUCUUAGCCCUCGUCUUCACGCGCAGUCCUCCUGGGUAGAUAUCCCCGUCUGUAUGCCCCUCGUUCACAGAGAUUGGAUACCAGUCACCAAGGAUGCUCCAUCCUCUUCACCUAGUCAUGCAAUGGCUGAUCAACUAACAACUAGAACAUAACCCCCAACCCCCUUGAAGAAAUGGCUACGUCUGUUGGCGAUUCUCCGAUUCUUCAUCUGGGAUGGAACCUCGCAUACAGCAGGAGCUUGUAUUUGUUGGAUGACCCUGACAUUUGGAGUCGGAUGGACCACAGUCUGUGACAAGCAGUGAACAUGCAACUGUGUACCUGAGCCAGAUACAAAGACAAGACAAGACGUUUUGAUUUAUAGAAGUCAAGAUGUAAGGAUUGAAGGAGAAAUCCUAACACAUUUUCUCAUGAUAGCUGGUUACGAUCUUAAGUGCUUUACAUACCAGAAAACGAGGACUGCGACCUUAACUCUUUCCUCAAGCUUCCAGACAUAAAAUAUUCUACAUUUCCACACAUGGAUCACACCCUUGUUCUGUUGAACAUUUACAUAAUUACAUAUCAAUCAGCCAAUUUUUUUUGUUCCAAAAUUAUUUUUUAUACAGAAUAAACACAGGCAGAAUAGCUCAGUUCAUCUGAAAGACACUAUAAGCUAGAAGGUAGUCUUCAAUUAAUUCACAAAGACAUGUUAAGAAAAAAAAAGCUGAUGAGGAGAAGGGGAGGAGAGGACAAACAGAUUACCAGAUGAAGAGUUUUAUAUGAUAAUGUGGCAAAUAUAUCAAACUUUAAAAACUAUUAAAGACUGAUAUUCCAAACAAGGACCAUGCAUGGAGAUAACCUAGAACCCCUGCACAGAGGUAGCCCAUGGUAGCUCAGUGUCCAAGAGGGUUCCCCAAUAAUAGGAACAAGGAUCAUCUCUGACAUGAACUCAUGGGCUGGCUCUUUGUCCACCUCCACCUGAGGGAGAAGCAGCCUUAACAGUCCACAGAGGAAGACAAUGAAGCCAGUCCUGAUGAGACCUGAUAGACUAGGGUCAGAUGGAAGGGGAGGAGGUCUUCUAUCAGUGGACUGGGAGAAGGCGUAGAAGAAUGAGGAGGGAGGGUGGUGUUGG